This 621-nucleotide ribosomal RNA is filed under the name uncultured bacterium. RNAcentral describes it as "bacterial SSU rRNA". It matches the Rfam family "Bacterial small subunit ribosomal RNA", at positions 65 to 678 of the family's 1533-position model. The record is from RNAcentral.
AGGGGCAGCGGGGAGUGAGGCUUGCCUUACUUUGCCGGCGACCGGCGCACGGGUGAGUAACACGUAUGCAACCUACCCUUUACAGCGGGAUAACCGGAAGAAAUUUCGCCUAAUACCGCAUAUACUCCUUGGGAGGCAUCUUCCGAGGGGGAAAGAAUUUCGGUGAAGGAUGGGCAUGCGUCGCAUUAGUUAGUUGGCGGUGUAACGGACCACCAAGACGACGAUGCGUAGGGGUUCUGAGAGGAAGGUCCCCCACACUGGUACUGAGACACGGACCAUACUCCUACAGGAGGCAGCAGUGAGGAAUAUUGGUCAAUGGCCGAGAGGCUGAACCAGCCAAGUCGCGUGAGGGAAGAAUGUCCUAUGGAUUGUGGACCCUCUUUUGUCAGGGAGCAAAAUCACCCACGUGUGGGUGUUGGAGAGUACCUGAAGAAAAAGCAUCGGCUACCUCCCUGCCAUCCGCCGCGGUAAUACGGAGGAUGCGAGCGUUAUCCGGAUUUAUUGGGUUACAAGGGUGCGUAGGCGGGUUAUCAAGUCAGCGGUAAAUCGGGAGCUCAACUCCAUCCAGCCGUUGAAACUGAUGUCUGAGUGGGCGAGAAGUAUGCGGAAUGCGUGGUGUAG